RNAcentral lists this ribosomal RNA (1120 nucleotides) under Bacillus stratosphericus. RNAcentral describes it as "bacterial SSU rRNA". It matches the Rfam family "Bacterial small subunit ribosomal RNA", at positions 23 to 1124 of the family's 1533-position model. The record is from RNAcentral. Lineage: Bacteria; Bacillati; Bacillota; Bacilli; Caryophanales; Bacillaceae.
CUCAGGACGAACGCUGGCGGCGUGCCUAAUACAUGCAAGUCGAGCGGACAGAAGGGAGCUUGCUCCCCGGAUGUUAGCGGCGGACGGGUGAGUAACACGUGGGUAACCUGCCUGUAAGACUGGGAUAACUCCGGGAAACCGGAGCUAAUACCGGAUAGUUCCUUGAACCGCAUGGUUCAAGGAUGAAAGACGGUUUCGGCUGUCACUUACAGAUGGACCCGCGGCGCAUUAGCUAGUUGGUGAGGUAACGGCUCACCAAGGCGACGAUGCGUAGCCGACCUGAGAGGGUGAUCGGCCACACUGGGACUGAGACACGGCCCAGACUCCUACGGGAGGCAGCAGUAGGGAAUCUUCCGCAAUGGACGAAAGUCUGACGGAGCAACGCCGCGUGAGUGAUGAAGGUUUUCGGAUCGUAAAGCUCUGUUGUUAGGGAAGAACAAGUGCAAGAGUAACUGCUUGCACCUUGACGGUACCUAACCAGAAAGCCACGGCUAACUACGUGCCAGCAGCCGCGGUAAUACGUAGGUGGCAAGCGUUGUCCGGAAUUAUUGGGCGUAAAGGGCUCGCAGGCGGUUUCUUAAGUCUGAUGUGAAAGCCCCCGGCUCAACCGGGGAGGGUCAUUGGAAACUGGGAAACUUGAGUGCAGAAGAGGAGAGUGGAAUUCCACGUGUAGCGGUGAAAUGCGUAGAGAUGUGGAGGAACACCAGUGGCGAAGGCGACUCUCUGGUCUGUAACUGACGCUGAGGAGCGAAAGCGUGGGGAGCGAACAGGAUUAGAUACCCUGGUAGUCCACGCCGUAAACGAUGAGUGCUAAGUGUUAGGGGGUUUCCGCCCCUUAGUGCUGCAGCUAACGCAUUAAGCACUCCGCCUGGGGAGUACGGUCGCAAGACUGAAACUCAAAGGAAUUGACGGGGGCCCGCACAAGCGGUGGAGCAUGUGGUUUAAUUCGAAGCAACGCGAAGAACCUUACCAGGUCUUGACAUCCUCUGACAACCCUAGAGAUAGGGCUUUCCCUUCGGGGACAGAGUGACAGGUGGUGCAUGGUUGUCGUCAGCUCGUGUCGUGAGAUGUUGGGUUAAGUCCCGCAACGAGCGCAACCCUUGAUCUUAGUUGCCAGCAU